Long non-coding RNA from Amblyraja radiata (thorny skate), 132 nucleotides. RefSeq lists it as uncharacterized. The record is from RefSeq and is a predicted model, not a curated record. The transcript has 3 exons. Lineage: Eukaryota; Metazoa; Chordata; Chondrichthyes; Rajiformes; Rajidae.
ACUGGGGAGGGGGAGGGAUGUGGAGAGAGGGAAGCAAGGGCUAUUGGGAUUUAGAGACGUCUAUGCUCAUACUGCUGGGGUGUAAGCUGCCCAAGCGUAAUAUGAGGUGCUGUUCGAGAUGCAGAUGUGAUG